This 468-nucleotide ribosomal RNA is filed under the name uncultured bacterium. Its description in RNAcentral is "partial 16S ribosomal RNA". It matches the Rfam family "Bacterial small subunit ribosomal RNA", at positions 28 to 507 of the family's 1533-position model. The record is from RNAcentral.
GACGAACGCUGGCGGCGUGCUUAACACAUGCAAGUCGAACGGAAAGGCCCUGCUUUUGUGGGGUGCUCGAGUGGCGAACGGGUGAGUAACACGUGAGUAACCUGCCCUUGACUUUGGGAUAACUUCAGGAAACUGGGGCGAAUACCGGAUAGGAGCUCCUGCUGCAUGGUGGGGGUUGGAAAGUUUCGGCGGUUGGGGAUGGACUCGCGGGUUAUCAGCUUGUUGGUGGGGUAGUGGCUUACCAAGGCUUUGAAGGGUAGCCGGCCUGAGAGGGUGACCGGCCACAAUGGGCCUGCGAUACGGCCCAGACGCCAACGGGCGGCAGCAGUGGGGAAUAUUGCAGAAUGGGGGGAAGCCUGAUGCAGCAACCCCGCGUGCGGGAUGACGGCCUUCGGGUUAUAAACCGCUUUCGCCUGUGACGAAGCGUGAGUGACGGUAAUGGGUAAAGAAGCACCGGCUAACUACGUG